This 748-nucleotide long non-coding RNA is filed under the name Lathyrus oleraceus (garden pea). RNAcentral describes it as "Pisum sativum (pea) long non-coding RNA (PSAT_LNC019445)". Lineage: Eukaryota; Viridiplantae; Streptophyta; Magnoliopsida; Fabales; Fabaceae. The record is from RNAcentral.
UUUUAUGAAACGCAUGGUUAUUAGAAUAAAAAAUUCCCAGCUUCCUUCAUUCAUUUAUUUCAAUAUUUUCAGUGUGAAACGUCAGCAAUUUGCAUUAAUAAGUCAACUACAAGCAAAUAUAUAUACAUACAAGAAACGGACAAACAGUCAUUAACUAAAUGCUUAUUGUUUCAACAAAUUCCAUUAGGAAUGAACAACAAAUAUUUUCACAGGGUCAUAUAUGACUAUUUUUUUCUAGUGACACUUGUAACUUAAAACUUUCAGCACGUCAUCAGCAUUAGUGGCCAGGGGAUGAGGAACAAAAUUAAAAAUAAGUAAAGCCUUGCCAAAUUUAACUAAAGCUCCACUACUCCUUUCAAAACCCACCAUCCCACAGGUAAAAAAAAACUUUGAAAACCUAUAUUUCAUUUUACAACCGAAAUGGCGCAGCCGCAAGCCCUGCAAGUCUCAACAGUCGUGCAAAACUACAAAUACGCAUGCCUGCUUUUACCAUCCCACAGGUAAAAAAAAACUUUGAAAACCUAUAUUUCAUUUUACAACCGAAAUGGCGCAGCCGCAAGCCCUGCAAGUCUCAACAGUCGUGCAAAACUACAAAUACGCAUGCCUGCUUUUGCAGCAGCCAAUGAUGGGGGAACAUUUUAUACAGAGGAUAAACUCACAUGAAAUAGCUUAGUGCUUUCUUGACUCUUGAACCACCUUCCCCAUAGAGUUCAUUCCAUUGUAAAAGCUCCGUCAUAUUAACAGAUUC